CAGGCCUAACACAUGCAAGUCGAACGGCAGCACGGGUGCUUGCACCUGGUGGCGAGUGGCGAACGGGUGAGUAAUAUAUCGGAACGUACCUUAUUGUGGGGGAUAACGCAGCGAAAGCUGUACUAAUACCGCAUAAUCCCUAAGGGGGAAAGCGGGGGACCGUAAGGCCUCGCGCAAUUAGAGCGGCCGAUACCUGAUUAGCUAGUUGGUGAGGUAAAGGCUCACCAAGGCAACGAUCCAGUAGCUGGUCUGAGAGGACGAUCAGCCACACUGGGACUGAGACACGGCCCAGACUCCUACAGGAGGCAGCAGUGGGGAAUUUUGGACAAUGGGGGCAACCCUGAUCCAGCAAUGCCGCGUGAGUGAAGAAGGCCUUCGGGUUGUAAAGCUCUUUUGUCAGGGAAGAAACAGCAGCUCUAACACAGUUUGCGAAUGACGGUACCUGAAGA
RNAcentral lists this ribosomal RNA (449 nucleotides) under uncultured bacterium. Its description in RNAcentral is "bacterial SSU rRNA". It matches the Rfam family "Bacterial small subunit ribosomal RNA", at positions 43 to 485 of the family's 1533-position model. The record is from RNAcentral.